GGGGCUGUAGCUCAGCUGGUUAGAGCAGCGGACUCAUAAUCCGUUUGUCCUGGGUUCAAGCCCCAGCAGCCCUACGA
RNAcentral lists this transfer RNA (77 nucleotides) under Arthrobacter echini. Its description in RNAcentral is "tRNA-Met". It matches the Rfam family "tRNA". Rfam says of the family: Transfer RNA (tRNA) molecules are approximately 80 nucleotides in length. Their secondary structure includes four short double-helical elements and three loops (D, anti-codon, and T loops). The record is from RNAcentral. Lineage: Bacteria; Bacillati; Actinomycetota; Actinomycetes; Micrococcales; Micrococcaceae.